Molecule: long non-coding RNA, 1163 nt
Organism: Gambusia affinis (western mosquitofish)
Lineage: Eukaryota; Metazoa; Chordata; Actinopteri; Cyprinodontiformes; Poeciliidae
Exons: 3
Source: RefSeq, a predicted model, not a curated record
UCACCAGAAAAAUAAAGAUUUUUAUAUCAAUCUUAGAAGUUUCCUAAUUUUCGUCUGUUUUUCUUUAGAUGCAUCCCAUCACCAAAAAUCCUGGAUCAAACUUUCACCAAUAAACUCAGAGAUUUUGAGGGUAAUCUCAAAGUUUCUGAGUUUCUUCUUGUACAUAUUUUAAUUUUGGAGCACAGAAAUUUCCUUGUUUUUGCCAGAUAAUUUCUGAACAGGUUUGUGUUUGCAAUAUGACAGAAUGUGGGGAAGUCCAACAGGUGUCAAUAUUUAAAGCAAAUCCAUCCUGUUUCUUUGUGAUUUAUUUACCGCUUAACCUCCCUGCUAGAUCAAAAUAUCAGAGCUGAAAUAUUUGUUAAAAACUUCUGAAUGACAAGCAGCAGAAUCUGGAUUGAAUAUUUGGGAUACUUUAAAUGAAAACCAGGAGGGAAACAUUCCUCUGGGAAUGCUGGACAUCUGAGACGGUUCAGAAAUGUCCCACUGUUUCUGGAUCUGGACUGGAAAUGGAAAAGGAUUCAGAUCUAUGGAGCAGAGGGACAAAUCUGCUGAAAGGACUCGGUAAACAGCUUAAAUAUUUACAGCCUGGGAGCGAACAUUCCUGCUGACACUCCUCUGUGUCAACGUCUAUUGCUGUGAAUGAGGCAGAAAAGUUUCAAGGAUGACUUCAGUGUCCUCAUUUCGGUGUUUCAGCUUGCACAUUACCUUAAGAACCUUUGGUAUCAUCGUGAAGAGGUCCAACAGUCCACCGGAUCUCAGCUGAGCAGUACUUUGGUCCUCUGGAAGGUCCUGUCCAGGAACAAAGAGGUUGCUAGGCAACAAAGACACCAUGAUUGUAAAGAGGCGUGUUUGUGUCCAUGUUUGUCCAGCGGGCUUCGAAGACGCAAUGAGAAACACUUUUUACAGCCAGAGUUACGUUCAAAAUGAUAGCGCUCUUGUUCUGGAGGCCAAGAUCUGAAUGUUCCUCUCCUCUCUUCAGCCUGGAGAAAAGAAAUCCUGUUUCUGCAGAUUUACGUUUGAGUCACAGAAUCACGCCAGGAGAAACUGCAGCUGUCAGUCAACGUUGAGCUGCGGCUCUUUUUUGAUGAAUGACUCACAAAGUUGUUUGUAUAAGAGUCUCAGCAGCAGGCUCCACGAAGUGUGGCAAAGAUCUCUACACACAU